GAACUCGAAGUCCAAUCUUAACCUGUACAGCAAUUUUAAGACCCAAUUUUUCAAAUGCUUGGAUUUUCAGGAUUUUAAAUAUGUAUAACUAAUGGAAAAUACAACCAUCAUACAGAAAUCAACAAGUGACUACCAUCCUAGCUUAAUCCUAAAAUUCAUGGAAAUACUAAAUUUGAAGAUUUAAAAAAAAAAUCUAACUAUGGUCAAGCAGACAACAUGAAUGAAGAGAGAAAGAGAGGGGACGGGAAUCACAUCCAAGGUAUGCAAUCAUGCACAAGCAAAAGGGGACUUGCAGGGUUUCCUGACUGUGGAAACAUGAAAGCAAGGUUCAAAACUAAUGAUGAUACAAGUUCAAGAAUAUUAUAGGAUUAGAAAGCCUGCAUGAAAAGAAAAUUAUCUGGACAAGGAACGAAAGGAGUGAAUAAUGGAACAAAUGGAGGUUGGAGAAUCUACGUCAUUAGUGGGAACAAAAAGGAAAAAAGAAAAGCAAUAGAACAAAAUAUGCCCUGCUAUAUAAUCUGGGAAGUGGGAACAAUUAAUUAUGACAAAAAUGGUCUAGCUGAGGUUACGAAAUUGAAAUACUCCAAUCAAGUUUUUAA
RNAcentral lists this unclassified non-coding RNA (599 nucleotides) under Hevea brasiliensis (rubber tree). The record is from RNAcentral. Lineage: Eukaryota; Viridiplantae; Streptophyta; Magnoliopsida; Malpighiales; Euphorbiaceae.